This 253-nucleotide ribosomal RNA is filed under the name uncultured bacterium. Its description in RNAcentral is "partial 16S ribosomal RNA". It matches the Rfam family "Bacterial small subunit ribosomal RNA", at positions 524 to 776 of the family's 1533-position model. The record is from RNAcentral.
UACAGAGGUCUCAAGCGUUGUUCGGAAUCACUGGGCGUAAAGGGUGUGUAGGCUGCGUGUUAAGUCAGAUGUGAAAUCCCGGGGCUCAACCUCGGAACUGCAUCCGAUACUGGCAUGCUAGAGAAUUGGAGAGGAGUCUAGAAUUCACGGUGUAGCAGUGAAAUGCGUAGAUAUCGUGAGGAAUACUAAGUGCGAAGGCAGGACUCUGGACAUUUUCUGACGCUGAGACACGAAGGCUAGGGGAGCAAACGGG